AUCUAAGUAGUUUAAUUGUAGAAUAUUGGCUUGUGAUGCUUAUGGUGUAAUUGUGUUACCUUAGGUU
RNAcentral lists this transfer RNA (67 nucleotides) under Stolotermes victoriensis. RNAcentral describes it as "tRNA-His". It matches the Rfam family "tRNA". From Rfam's summary of the family: Transfer RNA (tRNA) molecules are approximately 80 nucleotides in length. Their secondary structure includes four short double-helical elements and three loops (D, anti-codon, and T loops). The record is from RNAcentral. Lineage: Eukaryota; Metazoa; Arthropoda; Insecta; Blattodea; Termopsidae.